GAAAUGCGAUAAGUAGUGUGAAUUGCAGAAUUCAGUGAAUCAUCGAAUCUUUGAACGCACAUUGCGCCCCUUGGUAUUCCAUGGGGCAUGCCUGUUCGAGCGUCAUUUGUACCCUCAAGCUCUGCUUUGUGUUGGGUGUUUGUCCCCGUCUCCGCGCGUGGACUCUCCCCAAAGUGAUUGGCAGCUGGCGUACUGGUCCCGGAGCGCAGCACAUGUCGCGCAAACGAGUGCCUUGGUACGGCGGCGUCCAUAAGCCCCUCUCUCACGCUCUUGACCUCGGAUCAGGUAGGGAUACCCGCUGAACUUAAGC
This 310-nucleotide unclassified non-coding RNA is filed under the name plant metagenome. Its description in RNAcentral is "partial contains 5.8S ribosomal RNA, internal transcribed spacer 2, and large subunit ribosomal RNA". The stretch from base 1 to 105 matches the Rfam family "5.8S ribosomal RNA", at positions 50 to 154 of the family's 154-position model. The record is from RNAcentral.